Long non-coding RNA from Onychostoma macrolepis, 1196 nucleotides. RefSeq lists it as uncharacterized. The record is from RefSeq and is a predicted model, not a curated record. The transcript has 4 exons. Lineage: Eukaryota; Metazoa; Chordata; Actinopteri; Cypriniformes; Cyprinidae.
AGGACAGAAAGACCAGAAUUGGGAAGAAAAAAAAAUAUCUGGGCCAUAUUCCCUUUGUAUCAGCAGCUUCCUGAUGAGAAUAACAUUCUUGAAAAAGCAGAAGCCAUCAUUGGUCCAUACUUGGAAUGCUGUGAAGUGAGCUGGUCAGUAAUGUAAUGUUCCUGGUAUGCAAGUUUGCUCCACAAAAUAAAUUGGUCCAGGAAAUAUAUGAAAAUGAGGAUGUUCAUGAUUCCAUAUCCUAAACUAAACCCUUCAGGAAGACGUUGCAAACACAUCUGGAGACUUUGAGAAGAUAUCUGGCAAGCCAACCUAUGGCCUGGUUUAAAGGGAGCACAUUCAAACUACAGCAGUUUAAUGAUACACCUGCUAUAACUUUUUGUUGUGAAAUGUUCCUGUGGAUUAUACAUGCAUUUAAUUCUCUGGAUUUGUUUGUAAUUGUAUAAAAAUGGAAAGAAGUCAUAAUUAUACUUGAUUAUUUUAUUGUAAUAUUGGACCUGUAAACUGAUUAUUUUCAAUGAAAAUUUCUUUCAUUUUGUUCUUACACAAACAAUUGAAUUGACAUUGAAUUAAACAACAUUAACAGCACGGAGAAGAAGAAAAAACUAACUAUUUUGGCUAUUUUUUACAUUACAAGCGCAACUGCAAUAGACUAUGAGAACAUUAAGUGGUUGCACAUACUGUAGAUUGACACUGGGAUCUUUUGCAAUCACAUUUAACACAAGUCAACUCACAAAAAUAACACAAGUCAACUCUGUGACAGAAGACCUAUCAGAUGGUAAUUGUUUCUCAUGUGAACAUAUGUAAAAAUGUAUUUACUCAUGGAUUUGAUGCUUUUUUCACAGUGGAGAAGCAAGAUGUGUGAUCAUAUGAACCUAGAAAUGCACUGCUGACAUGGCCAAUCGCAUGGUUGUCUGCUAUAAAUAAAUAAAAUGGCAUAUGCUUGGAAUAAUAAAUAAAUUUAAAUGUAAUAUACUAUUCAUUAUUUAUUUAAAUCUCUGGUUUAAAAAUAGGAAAAUAGACCCACUAUAGUUUAAAUAGUUUUCUUAAAUUUUAUCUCUCAAAAUGAUGGGUGUCAUUAAAAAUGUGGAGAUUAGCAGAAAUGCGUUGCAACCUCUUAUUUACAUGAGGUAAACAAAGCUGCUUGGUUUACAUUUUUAUGUAUGUACUUGUAGGGUUAUACAUAUUUUAAAGUUGUA